UUGAUGUGUUGACUUUUUCAGGUAACUCUUGCCGAGAAGAAGGCCCAAGACAGCUCGCUCAGGGCUCAGGAGCUGGAGAGGGAAAUCUCUGAAUUGAGAAGGGAAAACUCUGACCUGAGAAGGGAAAACUCCUCUGAGCUGAGAAGGGAAGUUGCCCACCUGAAACAGAGAUUGGAUGCAAUCUGCAGACGGAGGCAGGCAGAGGAAUACAUGAGGCAGGAGCCCACCCCAGGAGGACCGUACAGGCUGCACCCUCCCCUGAGAGGUAAGGAGCACAAUGUGAAGUGC
Long non-coding RNA from Camelus dromedarius (Arabian camel), 288 nucleotides. RefSeq lists it as uncharacterized. The record is from RefSeq and is a predicted model, not a curated record. The transcript has 3 exons. Lineage: Eukaryota; Metazoa; Chordata; Mammalia; Artiodactyla; Camelidae.